Molecule: ribosomal RNA, 253 nt
Filed under: uncultured bacterium
Lineage: Bacteria
Description: partial 16S ribosomal RNA
Rfam family: Bacterial small subunit ribosomal RNA
Source: RNAcentral
UACGUAGGGGGCAAGCGUUGUCCGGAUUUAUUGGGCGUAAAGAGCGUGUAGGCGGCCAGGUAGGUCCGCUGUGAAAACUCGAGGCUUAACCUCGAGAUGUCGGUGGAAACCAUCUGGCUAGAGUCCGGAAGAGGAGAGUGGAAUUCCUGGUGUAGCGGUGAAAUGCGCAGAUAUCUGGAGGAACACCGGUGGCGAAGGCGGCAUCCUGGACCGACACUGACGCUGAGGCGCGAAAGCUAGGGUAGCAAACGGG